CCUACGGGAGGCAGCAGUGAGGAAUAUUGGUCAAUGGGCGCGAGACUGAACCAGCCAAGCAGCGUGAAGGAUGACUGCCCUACGGGUUGUAAACUUCUUUUAUCAAGGAAUAAAGUGAGGCACGUGUGCCUUUUUGUAUGUACUUUAUGAAUAAGGAUCGGCUAACUCCGUGCCAGCAGCCGCGGUAAUACGGAGGAUCCGAGCGUUAUCCGGAUUUAUUGGGUUUAAAGGGUGCGUAGGGGGGUUGUUAAGUCAGUUGUGAAAGUUUGCGGCUCAACCGUAAAAUUGCAAUUGAUACUGGCAGUCUUGAGUACGGGUGAGGUAGGCGGAAUUCGUGGUGUAGCGGUGAAAUGCUUAGAUAUCACGAAGAACUCCGAUUGCGAAGGCAGCUUACUAAACUGCCACUGACGUUGAUGCUCGAAAGUGUGGGUAUCAAACAGGAUUAGAUACCCGAGUAGUC
This 460-nucleotide ribosomal RNA is filed under the name uncultured bacterium. Its description in RNAcentral is "partial 16S ribosomal RNA". It matches the Rfam family "Bacterial small subunit ribosomal RNA", at positions 338 to 795 of the family's 1533-position model. The record is from RNAcentral.